RNAcentral lists this long non-coding RNA (3674 nucleotides) under Canis lupus familiaris (dog). Its description in RNAcentral is "lncRNA (ENSCAFG00845011544.1)". The record is from RNAcentral. Lineage: Eukaryota; Metazoa; Chordata; Mammalia; Carnivora; Canidae.
GCGAGGCUGAGGCGGCCGCGGCGGCCAGAGCUCAGGGAGCGGACGUGUGGUUCCUGAUCCUUGGCACCAAAGACAGCUAGGCCUCGUGCACAGCUCUCUGAACAACAGGGGCCCAGAGCUGAUGGCAGACAAUGUCAGCCACUAACAACAUAGCCCAGGCCCGGAAGCUGGUGGAGCAGCUCCGCAUCGAAGCUGGCAUCGAGCGCAUCAAGGUGUCCAAAGCCUCGUCAGAACUCAUGAGCUACUGCGAGCAGCACGCCCGGAAUGACCCCCUCCUGGUCGGAGUCCCCGCCUCCGAGAAUCCCUUUAAGGACAAGAAGCCCUGUAUUAUUCUGUAGCCUUGUUUUCUGGUGUGUCCCUCCCUCUGUCUCUCUCAGCUAGGGCCUCAUUCACUACACAGUCAAGCAAAACAUUUCAAGUCCCAAAACUUCCAGUACCCAAAGAAAUGCGAACAGCCCCCACGGCGGAUGGGGUAAAAUGUGUCUCCCGGCCUUAGGUGGAUUCUCGAGCCCAGCAGCGCUGCCCUCCCAGGCCCGGCCGGAAGACGCUGGGGGUGCCGCUGCCGCUUCCCAUCAGGAACAGCAGAAAUGCCCAAGUGAUGUGCUAACAAUUUUCUGAAACUUGGUUGCCGUUCGGGUUGCGGUCCAGAGCGGCGCCGGGCUGGGAGAAGGGAAGGAGGUGGGUGACCUGGCCACUGUCCCGUGCGCCCUGGCGGGUGGGGAUUCUCGCACAAUUGGCUGUUUGUGCAAAGACUGGUGCCAGGCCGACGCUGCAGUGCGUUUACUGUUUCUUCUGUGCUCAGCAGACUAAAAGUGGGUAGUGGGGGAAGGGCACAGCGGCGUGUUUUGGAAACAGGUCCCCUCUCCGUUUAAACAAUUGUUGCUCCACACCCCGGAGCCCCGAGCUCAGCGGCUGAGCCUGCAGCCACACAUUGUGUAGAAUGCACCCGCGGAUUUUAGAGGCCAGGAGGGAGGCUUUGUCUGUGGAGCGUGCCCUGCGUGGCCAAGUGUCGCCCUGCUGUGUGGCACUUGUGUGGCGUUUGUGUGGCACACAUCACCCGACAGCCCCGCUGCGGCCCCCCGCCCUUUCCUGGGACCCCACCCCACAGGGAAGCGGAUUUCCAGCAACCUGCCCUGGUCACUGGAACGGUCAGCUGUGUUCUGUUUUGUUUUGAGCACGAAACGGCCAUUUGAGCAGUUAGAAGCUGUGGUCAUAUUUGGCUUUGCCGGGUUGUCGUGUUGUGUUUUGUUUUUUUCCACUUUUUGCGCGUCGCCAUGGCCAUUUUGCAAACAGGAGUGCAGCCCGGGGAGGCCCUGCCUGACAGGUCAAAAGGCGUGAAGCUCCAGAAAGCAGCUGCAGGGCCUCGGGGUGAGAUGCGUAACCCAGACAGCUCCUGGCUCUUCCCUCCCGUGGUUUUUCCUUGAUCACUCGGCUCCUGUGACAGUUGACCUGGACAGUUAAGGGAGCAGGAGGCAGAGGGAGGACCCCGUGCACACCUGUCCCCCACCUGCCCCUGUACCCUUGCACCCGUGUGCCCUGCGCCAAGAGGGUCCUCACCUUACAGGCCAGGAGCUGGGUCCUCGUGCCAACCUCAAGGCUCCUGCUCCCCCCACCGAGCCCCUGCAAGUGCCAAGGCCCAGAUCCCACCAGCAUUAAGGUUUGGGGAUGAGAGGGAUGUGUCCCUGUGCCGGCGGGUGACGUCCCCAUGCGGGCUGGCUGCAGGGCCCAGCCUUGCUCCUCGGCUCCCAGCUCUCUCCGGCCGGUCCGGGAGCACCGGGGGCUUUGGGGAGCCCAGUUUCCCCAAACCUGCCGUUGGACGGGGAAGCUGCGAGGGCCCGAUGCCCUGGCCACUCUCACUGGGCGGGGAGUCAGCCUCUUGCUGUCCCCAGUAGAGCAGCAAGCCGGAACAAAACCCGUUCGCUCAGCGGGGGGCCGGGGCGCCGGCGGAAUCCACCCCGAGACUCAACACUCGAGGGGCAGUUGGCAGAGCAAGCCCUGUCCGGCCACUUCUGUGAAAGAAGCCUUAAUCCCCGGAGCCCGCCUUCCCUCGCAUCCCCACCAUCCCGGGCUGGUCCUGGGUCACGGGUCCCCAGCGAGGCCCUGGUUUCAGUCCGACCCCUGCCCGCCAGCUGUGCCGCGUCCAGCCCCACCCAGUGUCCCUACCGGGUGGCCCCAAAACCUAGCUCAGGGCUCAGCCGGCAGCACCCCAGCCCUGAAUGAACUCGAACUCGAGUCAGAGCCCCGGGGCCAAGCAGUGUGGGUAAACCAGGCCCAGAGAGGGUGAGGAGGCACGUGGCCACCCCUGCCCAGCUGCCUCCCCAGGGGCCCCAGCCUCGACCCCGGGGGUGGCCGUCAGCAGAGGCCCACCUUGGGUGUCUUUCUAGCUGAGGAAAAGACCCCUCCUUUCUUCCUUCUAGAGUAAAUCCCAGUGUCCGUAGUGUAGACCCCCGAGCGCCGUGCACACGCGACAGCGUUUCCUGCCUGUGCUUCCCCGCGAGUGUCCCGCAUGAAACAUGGUGUGCGCGGUGCCUUCGGGAGCUAGCGGAGGUGGCAAGGGGCCUGGGGGGACCAGUGUCUCUAGGCCACAUCACGGGGGGGAAAUUAAGGGCACACCCCCCAAAAAACAGGGCUGGGAGACACAGGGUCCCCUUCUCUCCUACAGCCUGCCUGGGUGUCCCUCCCCCACUCCAGGAAGGAGCUAGAAUGUGCACCCCUCCCCACAGGUGACUCCCAGGCCAAGGAUUGAGUGACUGGGGGGUGACCUCUGGCCCCGGGGAUGUGAACCGCUGGCGGCAGAAGGUGCUGCCCUUCUUCCUGUGACUCUAGCCCACGUGUCCCCACCGCAUCCCCACCGUGUCCCUGCGUCCCCACCAUGUACCCAGCCGCGUCCUUCCGGGCGCCGGGCCUCCAGGCAGCUCGUCCAUCUCUGCGCCGCCCGGCCCCUCUCAGCUCUGGGGGCAGGAAAGGCCGUCAGCCCGCCCCGAGGGCGAGUGACCAGGGCCACUUUCCGGGCCAAAAUGAGGCCACCAACGGUCACUCGUCCGUCAAAAACACUUACAAAAAGCCAGCCUGCCACGGAGUCUCCGGGAAAGAAGCCAUAUGUCGGACACUCCACCCUCCUCCUUCUCUGUCCGUGGAAACCAUUGCCAAACAUUGCAAAGACCGGUUCCGGUUCGCAGAAGCCAUCUGUGGUUCUAGCAGGUUCUAUCCCACCUCCAUUUGGAUGUUCCGUGGCUUUUAUUUCUGAUUUAAAAAAAAAAAAAAAAAAUGACAACAAAAACAAUUCCAGGUGUGCCACACCCACUUUCUUGCAGUGUUUUAAUAUUGUGUGGAAUUGUUAAUACAGAGUGAACUAAUCCCCAGUACAAAGACUCCCUGGUCCUUGUCUCUGUGCCCACCGCCCGGGGCGGCGGGGGGGGUGGGAUUGGCGCCAGUGGUGAGGGGCGGCCCCACAGAGCAGCCCUCAGCGGGGGCGUUCCAGUUUGUAGGUGGAAAACUUGGGGAGGGGCACCUGGGGGCCUCAUUCGGUGAAGCAUCUGCCUUCGGCUCAGGUCAUGAUCCCGGGGUCCUGGGAUCGCAUCCUGCGUGGGGCUCCCUGCUCAGUGGGGAAUCUGCUUCUCCCUCUGCUCUGUGCCCCUACUCAUGCUCUCUCUCUCUCAAUAAAAUUUUUAAAA